GUAAUUAUCUCUAGUAGAGCCUUGAUGUGGGAGUGCAUAAAAAGCCAGCCCUCAUGAGCUCUUACCGCCGAACGGAGGACAGAGGUGGGGAACCAAAGGGAAAAUGAAGCGCUUCAUGUUUUGUCUCCUGCUGGUGCUGCCAUUUGCAGUCACGGCAGUACAAGGCCAAACAAGAGCUCAAAGGCGUCAUGUGUUGAUCUUUUUAAACG
Molecule: long non-coding RNA, 209 nt
Organism: Fundulus heteroclitus (mummichog)
Lineage: Eukaryota; Metazoa; Chordata; Actinopteri; Cyprinodontiformes; Fundulidae
Exons: 3
Source: RefSeq, a predicted model, not a curated record